Molecule: non-coding RNA, 71 nt
Organism: Alternaria rosae
Lineage: Eukaryota; Fungi; Ascomycota; Dothideomycetes; Pleosporales; Pleosporaceae
Source: the annotation of a RefSeq genome assembly
GCACUCUUGGUCCAACGGUAGGAUAAUUGCCUUCCAAGCAAUUGGCCCGGGUUCGACUCCCGGAGGGUGCA